This 1442-nucleotide long non-coding RNA is filed under the name Physcomitrium patens. RNAcentral describes it as "long non-coding RNA (PPAT_LNC001055)". The record is from RNAcentral. Lineage: Eukaryota; Viridiplantae; Streptophyta; Bryopsida; Funariales; Funariaceae.
AAUUUUGUGUUCUGUUUUCGGAGGUCAUGUUGGCGUGAUUUCGCAAUGGCUGUAUACGGCGGUUCUCCUACCGCCGCGUCUGUGGUACAAUGCUUUGGAAGACAUUGCCCAAACGAAACGAGGAAGUGGAUUGUUUUUAUUUUUAUUUUUUAAAUGAGACAUGAGUCCUCUACAUCUAAAAUUCAGACAGGUAAUUGGGGUCUCAACUCCUUUUAUCCUUCACUGAAAUAUUCAUUUUAAAAAUAAAAACAAAUGCAUGGUUCUAUUAAUAUUGGAUGAGUUGAAUGAAGAGAUAGCAACACAUGCAAAAUCACACAUAAAAAUAAACCAGUAAAGAAAACCAGGUUUAGAUGAAAUUUGCAAAGAAGAAGGUCCUUUCUUUUGAGCAUGGCAUGACUGAAGUUCAUGGUCACACACAAUUUCUUAAUUUGGUUAUAUUCACAUACUUAUGUACAUAAACAAACAAUAACACCAUUCCAAACUUGAAACUACCACCACCAACAGAUGGAAUGGGUCUGCAGGAAGGACAGAAUGAAUGAGAAUGAGAUCCAAAAACUUUCUAUACAUGGACAUGUACAUGCUCUCCCUCUUGUUUUGUUUUGCUUGUAAUAAUAAUAUUAUUAAGAUCAUUAUUAUAGUUGCUGUUACUCCUUUUUCUUUAAGCUUAAGAGCACAGAAUAGAAAAUGAAAGAGGUAAUUGUGAUGGUGAUUUCCUGUCAUCAAGCCUGCUGCUGAAGGUCAAUGGGUGGUCAUUUUCUUUUCUCUCUAUGCUUUUCCAAAAUUGUCUGACAUUGGGCUGCAUUGAGAGGAACAAUGACACUCCAGAGGGACUGGCCACAUUGCAUGAAGAAACCCUGAAAGUAGUUUUAGUAAAUUGUGCCCUUAGUAAUUGUGUGCUCAUGGGGUGUGAGCAAGAGGUUUUAUUGUUAUUAUUGCAUAUUUUGUGGGGGGACAGCCUCCAAGAAGGGUGUUGUAAGACUGGGUAGGAUUGUUGAAAACCAAAGUGCAAGAUGAGGUGGAUAUUGGAAAGGACCUAGGAUAUGGUUUUUUUCUAGGUGAUAAGUAAGAGUGAAACAAAAAUGCAAAAACUGCUCAUGCAGACCCCAAAAAUCUUGUAGUGGGAGACUUGCAUCCUUCAAUUGUGGAUAGUGGGAUUCAACUUCAGGUGACCUCUUUGGUAUGUAGAUACCAAUAUAGAUGAUGUUGAAGCUAGUCCCAAAUGAACUUGUGAGUAGUGUCCACUACAUUAUCCAAGACCUUGGUCCUGUGAUGGAUUGAAAUAGAAAUAACAAAUUUUGGGUAGAUUAAAUUUUUUGUGUAGAUUAAAUUUUUUGUGUUGCUCUUACAAAUGGUAAUUCUUACUAUUUAACUAUUAAAUCCCUCAAUCCAAUCUUUGGAAAUGUUUCAAACAUUACAAUAGACCACAAUAACCUAUCAAUUUG